RNAcentral lists this ribosomal RNA (253 nucleotides) under uncultured bacterium. Its description in RNAcentral is "partial 16S ribosomal RNA". It matches the Rfam family "Bacterial small subunit ribosomal RNA", at positions 524 to 776 of the family's 1533-position model. The record is from RNAcentral.
UACGGGGGGGGCAAGCGUUGUUCGGAAUUACUGGGCGUAAAGCGUGCGCAGGCGGUUUUGUAAGUUUGUCGUGAAAUCCCCGGGCUCAACCUGGGAAUGGCGAUGAAGACUGCAAGGCUAGAAUCUGGCAGAGGGGGGUAGAAUUCCACGUGUAGCAGUGAAAUGCGUAGAGAUGUGGAGGAACACCGAUGGCGAAGGCAGCCCCCUGGGUCAAGAUUGACGCUCAUGCACGAAAGCGUGGGGAGCAAACAGG